RNAcentral lists this ribosomal RNA (253 nucleotides) under uncultured bacterium. RNAcentral's name for it is "partial 16S ribosomal RNA". It matches the Rfam family "Bacterial small subunit ribosomal RNA", at positions 524 to 776 of the family's 1533-position model. The record is from RNAcentral.
UACAGAGACUGCAAGCGUUAUUCGGAUUCACUGGGCGUAAAGGGUGCGCAGGCGGCCAAGUGUGUGAGGCGUGAAAGCCCGGGGCUUAACCCCGGAAUUGCACCUCAAACUACAUGGCUAGAGCAUUGGAGAGGGUAGCAGAAUUCAUGGUGUAGCAGUGAAAUGCGUAGAUAUCAUGAGGAAUACCAGAGGCGAAGGCGGCUACCUGGACAAUUGCUGGCGCUCAGGCACGAAAGCGUGGGGAGCAAAAGGG